Molecule: ribosomal RNA, 765 nt
Filed under: uncultured bacterium
Lineage: Bacteria
Description: bacterial SSU rRNA
Rfam family: Bacterial small subunit ribosomal RNA
Source: RNAcentral
CUGGGCGUAAAGGGCGCGUAGGCGGAUUUAUAAGUCAAGUUUAAAAGCCCUGGGCUUAACCUGGGAAUGAGACGUGAUACUGUAAGUCUUGAGUAUAGGAGAGGAGAGGGGAAUUUCCGGUGUAGCGGUGAAAUGCGUAGAUAUCGGAAGGAACACCAGUGGCGAAGGCGCCUCUCUGGCCUAAUACUGACGCUGAGGUGCGAAAGCGUGGGGAGCGAAGAGGAUUAGAUACCCUCGUAGUCCACGCCGUAAACGAUGAAAACUAGCUGUUGGAAUGGAAGCAUUUUAGUAGCGAAGCUAACGCGAUAAGUUUUCCGCCUGGGGAGUACGGCCGCAAGGUUAAAACUCAAAGAAAUUGACGGGGGCCCGCACAAGCGGUGGAGCAUGUGGUUUAAUUCGAUGCAACGCGAAGAACCUUACCUACGCUUGACAUCCUUGGAAGCUUUAAGAGAUUAGAGUGUGCCUUCGGGAGCCAAGAGACAGGUGCUGCAUGGCUGUCGUCAGCUCGUGUCGUGAGAUGUUGGGUUAAGUCCCGUAACGAGCGCAACCCUUAUUGCUAGUUGCCAUCAUUAAGUUGGGUACUCUAGUGAGACUGCCGGUGAUAAACCGGAGGAAGGUGGGGAUGACGUCAAGUCAUCAUGGCCUUUAUGCGUAGGGCUACACACGUGCUACAAUGGUCGGUACAGAGAGUUGCCAAGCCGCGAGGUGGAGCUAAUCUCACAAAGCCGAUCGUAGUCCGGAUUGGAGUCUGAAACUCGACUCCAU